Molecule: ribosomal RNA, 208 nt
Filed under: uncultured bacterium
Lineage: Bacteria
Description: partial 16S ribosomal RNA
Rfam family: Bacterial small subunit ribosomal RNA
Source: RNAcentral
GGAUCGCAGUCUGCAACUCGACUGCGUGAAGGUGGAGUCGCUAGUAAUCGCGGAUCAGCAACGCCGCGGUGAAUGCGUUCCCGGGCCUUGUACACACCGCCCGUCAAGUCAUGAAAGUGGGCAGCACCCGAAGACGGUGGCCUAACCCUUGUGGGGGGAGCCGUCUAAGGUGAGGCUCGUGAUUGGGACUAAGUCGUAACAAGGUAAC